Molecule: long non-coding RNA, 237 nt
Filed under: Helianthus annuus (common sunflower)
Lineage: Eukaryota; Viridiplantae; Streptophyta; Magnoliopsida; Asterales; Asteraceae
Description: hypothetical non coding rna
Rfam family: Small nucleolar RNA R11/Z151 (bases 1-86)
Source: RNAcentral
GGGCUAAUGAUGAGAAAUUCAAUUAUCUUAGCGGAUUUCAGUGAGAUUUUUAAUCAAUGAUCUGAUUGUUACACACACUGAAGCUCUUAAUAAUAUUUUUAUAUGAAAUGGGAUGUUAAUAAUAAUUGCGGUGAUGAGGUAAAACACAUGAGGAUGUGUUUAGGGCAGUGGACAAAACGACUAAAACCGUUUUGCCGUGAUCCCCAAUUUAAACGACUUCUCCUUCCACUGAGCUUU